Molecule: ribosomal RNA, 570 nt
Filed under: Triticum aestivum (bread wheat)
Lineage: Eukaryota; Viridiplantae; Streptophyta; Magnoliopsida; Poales; Poaceae
Description: partial small subunit ribosomal RNA
Source: RNAcentral
CCCCUCCCUCCUGCUCGAUCCCCUCGCACCGCCAGCGGGAGAAGAGGCCGCGAUGCGCCCGCGCAACCCCGCCGUCGCGCGCCCCUUGCCUCGCCGCCCCUCCGUCGCCCAACCUCCUACCAUUUCCGGCACCCCCAGCCUCGCCGUCUCGCCCGCUUGCCAUGACCGCCGCGGUGGAGCUCCCAGCCUCCGGCAGCCGUUGCUGCAGUCCGGCACCCCUGCUUCCUCACACGUCGACCCCUCUCUUUCGGGAGAAUCUCUCUCUAAUCUCCCCUUCUCCUUCUUCUUUCUCUCUCUGAUCUCUGUUUUCUCCAGGGAAGGAAGUCACCACAUGGAACACAACCAGAAACGCCCUGCCUUGGAAGCUCGCCGCCUCCGCCGCCUCCGGCAACCUCUCUGUCGGCCUCGUGCUCCUCCGCCUCGAUCUGUCCGCCCAGCCGCCAGAUCCGCCGCCAAGACCACCAUCCUGCCCGUCGUCCAUCACCUGGAGGUGCCCUAUCCCGGCCAGCGUGGUCUUCUCCCUCAGACUCGCUUCUGAUCUUGUCCUCAAAUCAAUCUGCUAGUUCUCCC